AGAGGAUCACAAAAUUACAGGAGUUGUUCUUUCAUUUGACCCAAAACCAAUCAAGGGAGACUGGAAUGGUGCUGGUGCACAUACUAACUACAACACAAAGUCAAUGAGAAAGGAUGGUGGAAUUGAAGUGAUAAAGAAGGGUAUUGAGAAGCUGGGUCUG
Molecule: long non-coding RNA, 160 nt
Organism: Telopea speciosissima
Lineage: Eukaryota; Viridiplantae; Streptophyta; Magnoliopsida; Proteales; Proteaceae
Exons: 3
Source: RefSeq, a predicted model, not a curated record